GGGUUGUGAGGUUAAGCGACUAAGCGUACACGGUGGAUGCCCUGGCAGUCAGAGGCGAUGAAGGACGUGGCAAUCAGAAGCGAAACAUCUUCGGGUUGUGAGGUUAAGCGACUAAGCGUACACGGUGGAUGCCCUGGCAGUCAGAGGCGAUGAAGGACGUGCUAAUCUGCGAAAAGCGUCGGUAAGGUGAUAUGAACCGUUAUAACCGGCGAUGUCCGAAUGGGGAAACCCAGUGCAAUUCGUUGCACUAUCGUUAACUGAAUACAUAGGUUAACGAGGCGAACCGGGGGAACUGAAACAUCUAAGUACCCCGAGGAAAAGAAAUCAACCGAGAUUCCCCCAGUAGCGGCGAGCGAACGGGGAGCAGCCCAGAGUCUGAAUCAGCUUGUGUGUUAGUGGAACGGUCUGGAAAGUCCGACGGUACAGGGUGAUAGUCCCGUACACCAAAAUGCACAGGUUGUGAACUCGAAGAGUAGGGCGGGACACGUGGUAUCCUGUCUGAAUAUGGGGGGACCAUCCUCCAAGGCUAAAUACUCCUGACUGACCGAUAGUGAACCAGUACCGUGAGGGAAAGGCGAAAAGAACCCCGGCGAGGGGAGUGAAAAAGAACCUGAAACCGUGUACGUACAAGCAGUGGGAGCACCUUCGGGUGUGACUGCGUACCUUUUGUAUAAUGGGUCAGCGACUUAUAUUCUGUAGCAAGGUUAACCGUAUAGGGGAGCCGCAGGGAAACCGAGUCUUAACUGGGCGUUAAGUUGCAGGGUAUAGACCCGAAACCCGGUGAUCUAGCCAUGGGCAGGUUGAAGGUUGGGUAACACUAACUGGAGGACCGAACCGACUAAUGUUGAAAAAUUAGCGGAUGACUUGUGGCUGGGGGUGAAAGGCCAAUCAAACCGGGAGAUAGCUGGUUCUCCCCGAAAGCUAUUUAGGUAGCGCCUCGUGAAUUCAUCUUCGGGGGUAGAGCACUGUUUCGGCUAGGGGGUCAUCCCGACUUACCAACCCGAUGCAAACUACGAAUACCGAAGAAUGUUAUCACGGGAGACACACGGCGGGUGCUAACGUCCGUCGUGAAGAGGGAAACAACCCAGACCGCCAGCUAAGGUCCCAAAGUCAUGGUUAAGUGGGAAACGAUGUGGGAAGGCACAGACAGCCAGGAUGUUGGCUUAGAAGCAGCCAUCAUUUAAAGAAAGCGUAAUAGCUCACUGGUCGAGUCGGCCUGCGCGGAAGAUGUAACGGGGCUAAACCAUGCACCGAAGCUGCGGCAGCGACACUAUGUGUUGUUGGGUAGGGGAGCGUUCUGUAAGCCUGCGAAGGUGACCUGUGAGGGUUGCUGGAGGUAUCAGAAGUGCGAAUGCUGACAUAAGUAACGAUAAAGCGGGUGAAAAGCCCGCUCGCCGGAAGACCAAGGGUUCCUGUCCAACGUUAAUCGGGGCAGGGUGAGUCGACCCCUAAGGCGAGGCCGAAAGGCGUAGUCGAUGGGAAACAGGUUAAUAUUCCUGUACUUGGUGUUACUGCGAAGGGGGGACGGAGAAGGCUAUGUUAGCCGGGCGACGGUUGUCCCGGUUUAAGCAUGUAGGCUGAUUAUCCAGGCAAAUCCGGAUAAUCAAGGCUGAGGUGUGAUGACGAGGCACUACGGUGCUGAAGUAACAAAUGCCCUGCUUCCAGGAAAAGCCUCUAAGCAUCAGGUAACAUCAAAUCGUACCCCAAACCGACACAGGUGGUCAGGUAGAGAAUACCAAGGCGCUUGAGAGAACUCGGGUGAAGGAACUAGGCAAAAUGGUGCCGUAACUUCGGGAGAAGGCACGCUGGUGUGUAGGUGAAGUCCCUGCGGAUGGAGCUGAGACCAGUCGAAGAUACCAGCUGGCUGCAACUGUUUAUUAAAAACACAGCACUGUGCAAACACGAAAGUGGACGUAUACGGUGUGACGCCUGCCCGGUGCCGGAAGGUUAAUUGAUGGGGUUAUCCGUAAGGAGAAGCUCUUGAUCGAAGCCCCGGUAAACGGCGGCCGUAACUAUAACGGUCCUAAGGUAGCGAAAUUCCUUGUCGGGUAAGUUCCGACCUGCACGAAUGGCGUAAUGAUGGCCAGGCUGUCUCCACCCGAGACUCAGUGAAAUUGAACUCGCUGUGAAGAUGCAGUGUACCCGCGGCAAGACGGAAAGACCCCGUGAACCUUUACUAUAGCUUGACACUGAACAUUGAGCCUUGAUGUGUAGGAUAGGUGGGAGGCUUUGAAGCGUGGACGCCAGUCUGCGUGGAGCCAACCUUGAAAUACCACCCUUUAAUGUUUGAUGUUCUAACGUUGGCCCCUGACCGGGGUUGCGGACAGUGUCUGGUGGGUAGUUUGACUGGGGCGGUCUCCUCCCAAAGCGUAACGGAGGAGCACGAAGGUUAGCUAAUCCUGGUCGGACAUCAGGAGGUUAGUGCAAUGGCAUAAGCUAGCUUGACUGCGAGCGUGACGGCGCGAGCAGGUGCGAAAGCAGGUCAUAGUGAUCCGGUGGUUCUGAAUGGAAGGGCCAUCGCUCAACGGAUAAAAGGUACUCCGGGGAUAACAGGCUGAUACCGCCCAAGAGUUCAUAUCGACGGCGGUGUUUGGCACCUCGAUGUCGGCUCAUCACAUCCUGGGGCUGAAGUAGGUCCCAAGGGUAUGGCUGUUCGCCAUUUAAAGUGGUACGCGAGCUGGGUUUAGAACGUCGUGAGACAGUUCGGUCCCUAUCUGCCGUGGGCGCUGGAGAAUUGAGGGGGGCUGCUCCUAGUACGAGAGGACCGGAGUGGACGCAUCACUGGUGUUCGGGUUGUCAUGCCAAUGGCACUGCCCGGUAGCUAAAUGCGGAAGAGAUAAGUGCUGAAAGCAUCUAAGCACGAAACUUGCCCCGAGAUGAGUUCUCCCUGAGACUUUAAGUCUCCUGAAGGAACGUUGAAGACGACGACGUUGAUAGGCCGGGUGUGUAAGCGCAGCGAUGCGUUGAGCUAACCGGUACUAAUGAACCGUGAGGCUUAACCUUACAACGCCGAAG
This 3015-nucleotide ribosomal RNA is filed under the name Klebsiella pneumoniae. RNAcentral describes it as "23S ribosomal RNA". It matches the Rfam family "Bacterial large subunit ribosomal RNA". Lineage: Bacteria; Pseudomonadati; Pseudomonadota; Gammaproteobacteria; Enterobacterales; Enterobacteriaceae. The record is from RNAcentral.